UCGGGAAUAUUGCGCAAUGGAGGAAACUCUGACGCAGUGACGCCGCGUAUAGGAAGAAGGUUUUCGGAUUGUAAACUAUUGUCGUUAGGGAAGAGAAAGGACAGUACCUAAGGAGGAAGCUCCGGCUAACUACGUGCCAGCAGCCGCGGUAAUACGUAGGGAGCGAGCGUUAUCCGGAAUUAUUGGGUGUAAAGGGUGCGUAGACGGGAGAACAAGUUAGUUGUGAAAUACCUCGGCUCAACUGAGGAACUGCAACUAAAACUGUACUUCUUGAGUGCAGGAGAGGUAAGUGGAAUUCCUAGUGUAGCGGUGAAAUGCGUAGAUAUUAGGAGGAACACCAGUGGCGAAGGCGACUUACUGGACUGUAACUGACGUUGAGGCACGAAAGCAUGGUAGCAAACAGGAUUAGAUACCC
RNAcentral lists this ribosomal RNA (415 nucleotides) under uncultured bacterium. RNAcentral describes it as "bacterial SSU rRNA". It matches the Rfam family "Bacterial small subunit ribosomal RNA", at positions 355 to 787 of the family's 1533-position model. The record is from RNAcentral.